This 471-nucleotide ribosomal RNA is filed under the name Shigella sonnei. Its description in RNAcentral is "partial 23S ribosomal RNA". It matches the Rfam family "Bacterial large subunit ribosomal RNA", at positions 2162 to 2632 of the family's 2925-position model. Lineage: Bacteria; Pseudomonadati; Pseudomonadota; Gammaproteobacteria; Enterobacterales; Enterobacteriaceae. The record is from RNAcentral.
GUGUGGACGCCAGUCUGCAUGGAGCCGGCCUUGAAAUACCACCCUUUAAUGUUUGAUGUUCUAACGUGGACCCGUGAUCCGGGUUGCGGACAGUGUCUGGUGGGUAGUUUGACUGGGGCGGUCUCCUCCUAAAGAGUAACGGAGGAGCACGAAGGUUGGCUAAUCCUGGUCGGACAUCAGGAGGUUAGUGCAAUGGCAUAAGCCAGCUUGACUGCGAGCGUGACGGCGCGAGCAGGUGCGAAAGCAGGUCAUAGUGAUCCGGUGGUUCUGAAUGGAAGGGCCAUCGCUCAACGGAUAAAAGGUACUCCGGGGAUAACAGGCUGAUACCGCCCAAGAGUUCAUAUCGACGGCGGUGUUUGGCACCUCGAUGUCGGCUCAUCACAUCCUGGGGCUGAAGUAGGUCCCAAGGGUAUGGCUGUUCGCCAUUUAAAGUGGUACGCGAGCUGGGUUUAGAACGUCGUGAGACAGUUC